UACGUAGGUGACAAGCGUUAUCCGGAAUUACUGGGCGUAGAGCGCACGCAGGCGGCUGAGUAAGUCUGACGUGAAAUCUCCCGGCUUAACCGGGAGCGGUCGUUGGAAACUACUUGGCUUGAGGCGAGGAGAGGGGUGUGGAAUUCCCGGUGUAGUGGUGGAAUGCGUAGAGAUCGGGAGGAACAUCAGUGGCGAAAGCGGCACCCUGGCCUUAGCCUGACGCUCAGGUGCGAAAGCGUGGGGAGCGAACGGG
This 253-nucleotide ribosomal RNA is filed under the name uncultured bacterium. RNAcentral describes it as "partial 16S ribosomal RNA". It matches the Rfam family "Bacterial small subunit ribosomal RNA", at positions 524 to 776 of the family's 1533-position model. The record is from RNAcentral.